RNAcentral lists this ribosomal RNA (421 nucleotides) under uncultured bacterium. Its description in RNAcentral is "bacterial SSU rRNA". It matches the Rfam family "Bacterial small subunit ribosomal RNA", at positions 355 to 787 of the family's 1533-position model. The record is from RNAcentral.
UGGAGAAUCUUGCACAAUGGGCGAAAGCCUGAUGCAGCCACGCCGCGUGCGGGAAGAAGGCCUUCGGGUCGUAAACCGCUUUCAGGGGGGAAGAAGCGUCAAGUGACGGUACCUCCAGAAGAAGGACCGGCCAACUACGUGCCAGCAGUCGCGGUAAUACGUAGGGUCCGAGCGUUGUCCGGAAUCAUUGGGCGUAAAGCGCAUGUAGGCGGCCAUGUAAGUCGGAUGUGAAAUCCCGAGGCUUAACUUCGGAACUGCAUCCGGUACUGCGUGGCUUGAGGAAGGUAGAGGAGAGUGGAAUUCCCGGUGUAGCGGUGGAAUGCGCAGAUAUCGGAGAACACCAGCGGCGAAGGCGGCUCUCUGGGGCCCUUUCCUGACGCUGAGAUGCGAAAGCGUGGGUAGCGAACAGGAUUAGAUACCC